CUGGGAUAACACCUGGAAACAGAUGCUAAUACCGGAUAACAACACUAGACGCAUGUCUAGAGUUUGAAAGAUGGUUCUGCUAUCACUCUUGGAUGGACCCGCGGUGCAUUAGCUAGUUGGUAAGGUAACGGCUUACCAAGGCAAUGAUGCAUAGCCGAGUUGAGAGACUGAUCGGCCACAUUGGGACUGAGACACGGCCCAAACUCCUACGGGAGGCAGCAGUAGGGAAUCUUCCACAAUGGACGAAAGUCUGAUGGAGCAACGCCGCGUGAGUGAAGAAGGGUUUCGGCUCGUAAAGCUCUGUUGGUAGUGAAGAAAGAUAGAGGUAGUAACUGGCCUUUAUUUGACGGUAAUUACUUAGAAAGUCACGGCUAACUACGUGCCAGCAGCCGCGGUAAUACGUAGGUGGCAAGCGUUGUCCGGAUUUAUUGGGCGUAAAGCGAGUGCAGGCGGUUCAAUAAGUCUGAUGUGAAAGCCUUCGGCUCAACCGGAGAAUUGCAUCAGAAACUGUUGAACUUGAGUGCAGAAGAGGAGAGUGGAACUCCAUGUGUAGCGGUGGAAUGCGUAGAUAUAUGGAAGAACACCAGUGGCGAAGGCGGCUCUCUGGUCUGCAACUGACGCUGAGGCUCGAAAGCAUGGGUAGCGAACAGGAUUAGAUACCCUGGUAGUCCAUGCCGUAAAC
This 682-nucleotide ribosomal RNA is filed under the name uncultured bacterium. RNAcentral's name for it is "bacterial SSU rRNA". It matches the Rfam family "Bacterial small subunit ribosomal RNA", at positions 138 to 807 of the family's 1533-position model. The record is from RNAcentral.